This 1343-nucleotide ribosomal RNA is filed under the name uncultured bacterium. RNAcentral's name for it is "16S ribosomal RNA". It matches the Rfam family "Bacterial small subunit ribosomal RNA", at positions 28 to 1378 of the family's 1533-position model. The record is from RNAcentral.
GACGAACGCUGGCGGCGUGCUUAACACAUGCAAGUCGAACGGAAAGGCCCUGCUUUUGUGGGGUGCUCGAGUGGCGAACGGGUGAGUAACACGUGAGUAACCUGCCCUUGACUUUGGGAUAACUUCAGGAAACUGGGGCUAAUACCGGAUAGGAGCUCCUGCUGCAUGGUGGGGGUUGGAAAGUUUCGGCGGUUGGGGAUGGACUCGCGGCUUAUCAGCUUGAUGGUGGGGUAGUGGCUUAUCAAGGCUUUGACGGGUAGCCGGCCUGAGAGGGUGACCGGCCACAUUGGGACUGAGAUACGGCCCAGACUCCUACGGGAGGCAGCAGUGGGGAAUAUUGCACAAUGGGCGGAAGCCUGAUGCAGCAACGCCGCGUGCGGGAUGACGGCCUUCGGGUUGUAAACCGCUUUCGCCUGUGACGAAGCGUGAGUGACGGUAAUGGGUAAAGAAGCACCGGCUAACUACGUGCCAGCAGCCGCGGUGAUACGUAGGGUGCGAGCGUUGUCCGGAUUUAUUGGGCGUAAAGGGCUCGUAGGUGGUUGAUCGCGUCGGAAGUGUAAUCUUGGGGCUUAACCCUGAGCGUGCUUUCGAUACGGGUUGACUUGAGGAAGGUAGGGGAGAAUGGAAUUCCUGGUGGAGCGGUGGAAUGCGCAGAUAUCAGGAGGAACACCAGUGGCGAAGGCGGUUCUCUGGGCCUUUCCUGACGCUGAGGAGCGAAAGCGUGGGGAGCGAACAGGCUUAGAUACCCUGGUAGUCCACGCUGUAAACGGUGGGUACUAGGUGUGGGGUCCAUUCCACGGGUUCCGUGCCGUAGCUAACGCUUUAAGUACCCCGCCUGGGGAGUACGGCCGCAAGGCUAAAACUCAAAGGAAUUGACGGGGCCCCGCACAAGCGGCGGAGCAUGCGGAUUAAUUCGAUGCAACGCGUAGAACCUUACCUGGGUUUGACAUGGAUCGGGAGUGCUCAGAGAUGGGUGUGCCUCUUUUGGGGUCGGUUCACAGGUGGUGCAUGGCUGUCGUCAGCUCGUGUCGUGAGAUGUUGGGUUAAGUCCCGCAACGAGCGCAACCCUUGUUCACUGUUGCCAGCACGUUAUGGUGGGGACUCAGUGGAGACCGCCGGGGUCAACUCGGAGGAAGGUGGGGAUGACGUCAAGUCAUCAUGCCCCUUAUGUCCAGGGCUUCACGCAUGCUACAAUGGCUGGUACAGAGAGUGGCGAGCCUGUGAGGGUGAGCGAAUCUCGGAAAGCCGGUCUCAGUUCGGAUUGGGGUCUGCAACUCGACCUCAUGAAGUCGGAGUCGCUAGUAAUCGCAGAUCAGCAACGCUGCGGUGAAUACGUUCCCGGG